UCUCCGGCCUCCUCUUCUGCUCUCUAAGUCUCUGAGAACACAGAGAAAGAAAAACUCACUAGGCACUUUCACUCGUGAUUUAGCACGAUUUAGAGUAGGAUUUGAAUAUGCUGAAGUUCAACGAAAGAUAGAUCAAGGCAUUAUUUCAUCACCUUUUGGAGUCAUUUAAAGCUUCAGGAGUAGGAUUUGCCUAGCGAAGUGAAUUACGAAGUUGAUCAAGCAAACAAGGAGGAGAUGACGUGAUUGAAGAAUUUGUGUUUCAAUCUUCGCUGUCCCUUUUGAGGUUAUGGCUGAAGUGCCAGUGCUUUUGCAGGGGCCCCAUGACGCCGGCCACCGUUGCCACCUAUUGUUGAACCCAAAUAAUGAUAAUGAUCCUCGAACUUUCACACUUCGAACCGUAAAUAACACAUGGUCAACACACGAUUCUUUCAUUCAUCACCUUGAGGCUUAUGGCCUACAUGGUUAUGCUAGUCUCACAUCAUCCGAAAACCAAUUACGUUCGGACCCAUCCCUUUUGACAUCCCUCGUUGACCGGUGGAGACCUGAAACCCACACCUUUCACUUUCGUCUUGGGGAGCUUGCACCUACACUGAAAGAUGUUUCUAUGAUCACUGCUCUACCAAUUAGAGGUGAGCCGUUAGUCUCUCUGUCAGUGACUCCAUCUUGGGCAUUAAAUAUCUC
This is a long non-coding RNA of Triticum aestivum (bread wheat), 681 nucleotides long. RefSeq lists it as uncharacterized. The transcript is spliced from 4 exons. The record is from RefSeq and is a predicted model, not a curated record. Lineage: Eukaryota; Viridiplantae; Streptophyta; Magnoliopsida; Poales; Poaceae.